This is a non-coding RNA of Danionella cerebrum, 70 nucleotides long. NCBI's taxonomy places the organism in Eukaryota, Metazoa, Chordata, Actinopteri, Cypriniformes, Danionidae. The record is from the annotation of a GenBank genome assembly.
UUCCUGUCACUGAGUCAGUAGAGCAUUUUACUAGCAAUGUAAAGGUUGUGGGUUCAAACCCCAGAGGAAG